UGGCGGCGAGUGGCGAACGGGUGAGUAAUAUAUCGGAACGUACCCAAGAGUGGGGGAUAACGUAGCGAAAGUUACGCUAAUACCGCAUACGAUCUAUGGAUGAAAGUGGGGGAUCGCAAGACCUCAUGCUCCUGGAGCGGCCGAUAUCUGAUUAGCUAGUUGGUAGGGUAAAGGCCUACCAAGGCUACGAUCAGUAGCUGGUCUGAGAGGACGACCAGCCACACUGGAACUGAGACACGGUCCAGACUCC
This 250-nucleotide ribosomal RNA is filed under the name uncultured Janthinobacterium sp. RNAcentral describes it as "partial 16S ribosomal RNA". It matches the Rfam family "Bacterial small subunit ribosomal RNA", at positions 86 to 339 of the family's 1533-position model. The record is from RNAcentral. Lineage: Bacteria; Pseudomonadati; Pseudomonadota; Betaproteobacteria; Burkholderiales; Oxalobacteraceae.